GAUGAACGCUAGCUACAGGCUUAACACAUGCAAGUCGAGGGGAAACGGCAUUAAGUGCUUGCACUUUUUGGACGUCGACCGGCGCACGGGUGAGUAACGCGUAUCCAACCUUCCCAUGACUAAGGGAUAACCUGCCGAAAGGCAGACUAAUACCUUAUGGUCUUCACUGACGGCAUCAGAUGUGAAGUCAAGAUUUAUCGGUUAUGGAUGGGGAUGCGUCUGAUUAGCUUGUUGGCGGGGUAACGGCCCACCAAGGCAACGAUCAGUAGGGGUUCUGAGAGGAAGGUCCCCCACAUUGGAACUGAGACACGGUCCAAACUCCUACGGGAGGCAGCAGUGAGGAAUAUUGGUCAAUGGGCGAGAGCCUGAACCAGCCAAGUAGCGUGCAGGAUGACGGCCCUAUGGGUGGUAAACUGCUUUUGUAUGGGGAUAAAGUCAAUCACGUGUGAUUGUUUGCAGGUACCAUACGAAUAAGGACCGGCUAAUUCCGUG
RNAcentral lists this ribosomal RNA (492 nucleotides) under uncultured bacterium. RNAcentral describes it as "partial 16S ribosomal RNA". It matches the Rfam family "Bacterial small subunit ribosomal RNA", at positions 28 to 507 of the family's 1533-position model. The record is from RNAcentral.